Molecule: unclassified non-coding RNA, 328 nt
Filed under: soil metagenome
Description: partial contains 5.8S ribosomal RNA, internal transcribed spacer 2, and large subunit ribosomal RNA
Rfam family: 5.8S ribosomal RNA (bases 1-120)
Source: RNAcentral
GAUGAAGAACGUAGUGAAAUGCGAUAAGUAAUGUGAAUUGCAGAAUUCAGUGAAUCAUCGAAUCUUUGAACGCACAUUGCGCCCCCUGGUAUUCCGGGGGGCAUGCCUGUCCGAGCGUCAUUACAACCCUCAAGCUCAGCUUGGUGUUGGGCCCCGCCGCCCCGGCGGGCCCUAAAGUCAGUGGCGGUGCCGUCCGGCUCCGAGCGUAGUAAUUCUUCUCGCUCUGGAGGUCCGGUCGUGUGCUCGCCAGCAACCCCCAAUUUUUUUCAGGUUGACCUCGGAUCAGGUAGGGAUACCCGCUGAACUUAAGCAUAUCAAUAAGGGAGGA